Long non-coding RNA from Zingiber officinale, 716 nucleotides. RefSeq lists it as uncharacterized. Lineage: Eukaryota; Viridiplantae; Streptophyta; Magnoliopsida; Zingiberales; Zingiberaceae. The record is from RefSeq and is a predicted model, not a curated record. The transcript is spliced from 3 exons.
CGCGAGCUUAUUUUGCGCGCUUGUGCGCAACUGUCAACAUGGCAUCCCACUUUUUUUUCCUUUUAUUUUUCUUUCCUCUGCCGCAUCAAUUGAAAUUUCCUUUUAUUUCUAAAACCUAACCUUUCAGCGACGAAGUUCCCACGACGUCGCUCGUCGAUCCCCACCUCGACGUUCCUCUUCCUCUCUCGCCGAUCCUUGCCAUCUUUCGUCGCUACCGCUGACGCCGUUGUUUGUCGAGAGCCCCCUUCUUCGCUCUCUGAUCCUCGCAGCCCUCGCCUCGGCGCUCCUUGCUCGCCGAUCCCCACCGUCUUUCGUCGCUGUCGCCGCUGUCUGUCGAGAGCCGCCGACGCCACGCUGGCCCUACCGUCGUUCCUCACCCACUUACAUAAAUCUGUGAGCGAUGCUGGUGUAAGAAAAUAGCAAGCUUUCACGUUUGAGUGAGGAUGAAUUUUGUUAGUUGUUAGCUCCUUGUGCUGAACGUCUGCCGGGACAUUAUUUCCCCAAUGCCAACCAGACAAAAUCCAAUCAUCCCAAGACCUUGAAGAACCAUUUCUGAGAAGAAGCAUUGUAAUUUAAUGAUGUUUAUCAAGAAGCAUAACAAAUGUAUUUCUCACUUGCAUUGUUAAUAGUUGUAGACUUUGUAUUAUUAACAAAUAUUUGUGCUUUUAGCUCAAGUGGAAAUGGCUAAUAAAUACUGAUUAUUGUUAUUAUUUUCA